UCUGAAGGGCCUUGGAAAAGCUCAUCCUAACAUCUGAGGUUUCACCUACCACCCACCAUGCAUGUCAGUGGUGGGAACACUGGGUAGUUGGGGUUGGCACAUACUGGAAGUGUGCUUUCACUUUUUGUCUGCCAGGAAAAUAUCCCAGACCCUGGAAAUACCUCUUGCCAACAAGGGAACAGUGUUAGAUAGAUGCUGAGCACAAAGAAAUCAUCAAUCUUCCUCUAAAGGAGGAAGGCUCAAGUUGUACCUGGGUGAUGGGAAGCACUGCCCCACACAAGCCUCAGAGGGUGUCAUGGGCAUCCCUUUGUGCAGAGACAUCUCAUCAGUUUGAUGCAAAGGCCAAGCUAAUUGCCAGCCUGCCACAAAACCAAGAAACCGAAAUAUUCACUCUGUGGUCUGCUCUGGCUUCCCUCAGGCUGCCUUGGAGCAUCUGUGACACUUGCAUUCCCCACUGAAAUGCUGAUUUGUUUCUGUCAGGCACCCAGAGUUGGUUCCUUGGUGUCAAGCUGACUCGUAGGUCACUGCUAAAUUUGGUGUAGGACACGAUGGCACAAUGCAUGGUGGGGCCAGGGUGACACCACCCUGCUGAGGCUGCGUGUGUGGCGCAGAGCCUGCGGCACCUUCCUGCAGAGGAAAGGAGAGUUCUGGAAGGUAAAAUGCAUUGAGAGGACAAAAAACAGCUGAGAAAAGCAGCCUGAGACCCUUAAGGAUCUGUCUGUGCUCCUGGCAUCUCCUGGCUCCUGGGUAUCCUGUGCCAAAACAAAUCCCAGAUGAAUGCUUGGUGGACUCUUACCUCCACUGGGGGAGUAGUUGGAAAGUAAAUUGGUGAGUCUACCAGGGGGAGAGGAGGCAUGCUGUGGUCUGUCCCCUCACAGCACAGAGCCACUGCUCCCUCAAGGUUCCUCCUCUCUGUCAUCCAGCUUACAGCCAUUGCCCCCAGCAUUUUCCUGACUCACCUUCCCAAACCACCUCCUCCAGCCCCACUCGUGCAGAGCUGCAGGGUGAGGGCACGCACUGAGCAGAGGUGUGAUGCUAAUAACAAGGUGUAGGGUAACAUAAACAGGAAAUCCUGCCACAAGAUACUUCCACAAGCACUUAAUCAGGCUUUCAGAGGAAACCAUCAUCCCAAAGAGAUGGAGCAACCCUAUAUCCUCUUAUAAUGCCAGGUGGGAAUCCUGCUGCCAGGAUGACAGAGUACUGUGCCUGGUCCAGCUGCCUUGCCUUUGGCAGCUGUAACCUCCUGAAAGCAAAUGUGAGAGGGAGUCAGAUGCCUGGCAAAUCCAAAAGAGAAAGGUUGACUUGCCAAAAUUAUUUUGUCUAUUCAAGGCAGAGUAAUAAAUGCUAGUCUGAGUAGUGUCUACUAUUAAUGGACAUGUUCCAAAGUGGUAGGAGAUGUGAUAAAAAAAAAUUGCUUCCAUUUUAAUAACUAAUUAAACAGCCUAACUUAGCCAGGGACCACUGCUGUGGAACUGAAUCCAAAACCUAAAAGAAAUAGCGGUAGCUGUAGCCCGGAGCCUUAGCAGUGAAUGAGUGACAGAGCAAAAACAUCUGUCCCUUUGAAGAAGGUCAGAAAAGGCUGAUAGUCCUCUUCCAAAUGGAGAAAAACCUGUCCAGACUGGGAAAAAAACCUGUUCCCAUUAGACCUGUGCCCCCCAGUCCUCGAGAAGCCGGCCAGGGCAGUGGCAGAUGCUGUGUCUGCUGCUGUGCUUGGGGCAUAGGGCUGCACGUGGGCUGCAGUGGUCCAGGCUAGCGCAGAGCCUGGGCAGUGCUCGGCUGCCACAAGAGUGGCUGCUGUGCCCAGCCUGGCCCUGGCCCUUCCUGUGGUGUUGCUGCUCUAUUAAAUCAUCUGCUGGGCUGACAGCUCCCCAGGGUCCUCAUGGCUUUGCCUGCAAAGCUGGCUUAAUUCCUGGCCUUGAAGCGGGCUGGGAACACAGCAUGCAUGGGGAUUUGCAGUUCUCAGCACGUUUAUCAGGGAAAACCUUUUCCAUGAAAGUUAGGGUCAGCCCACAGCCUCCCCCAUGAUAUUAUGCUUGUGUAAGCGAUCGUGUUCACCUGGGUUUCCUGAUGUUGCACUGAUGCCAGCUUUUUAUCUGCUCUCCUCAGCACAGAGGGCAUUCUGCCUUACCUUGGGGGCUGUUUUAACUGGAUUUGUACAAACCUGGUCAUCUGGGUUGCCUUUGCCCUGGUGCUGUGUUUGGCUGAGGUAGGCCAGUAAGGCAAAAAACUACUCCAGAGAGGAAGCAAGAUGCCCAUGCAAGAUGCCCAGGGAAGAAGGCUGGAAGCCCAGAGUGUGGUGCCACAUGCUGGGAUGCACCACUGGACCAGGGGGUCCCUACAGCAGCAGCCACUGAGAACAUGAGUAGAGACCUCACCCCACCUGGAUUUGCAUCCAGAAUUGUGCAGCCAAAUCAGGUGGGAAAAAAUUUCCUCAACAGCUGCAUUUGAAGAAAAAUAUUUUUGUUUUUUCCUCUGAGAGGUUCUCCAGACAAAUCUGGAAGAAUCCAGAGAGCAUGAGUUGGACACAGUUUAUGCUUAAAACAGGCAGUCACCUCUGCAGUGAUGGUGUCUUAUUUCUCCCUGUGGGCAUGGCUGCCAGGCAGAACAAUAAAUCUUUCACAUGGAAGUACAUGACAUGGACCUAAAUUCACAUUCCUUUCUGCAGCCCUUUCAGUGGCACACCAGCAACUGCUUAUCUGAGCACAGAGCCUUUCCAGGCUGCUGACACCUGCCUGCCUUGGGUCACACUUGUUCCUUCUACUUUGGGAUGAGGCAGAGAGAGAGCAAGAGGCUCUUCCUGUGGGAGGCUGCACUGGUUUAUUUAUCAGAGGAGGCCAUUCUGCAUGCCACAGUGGCUGAACUGCACCUGUCUCCAGGAGGGAUUUGUGGUGUGUGUUUGACCUGCAGAUGCACCUGGAACGGCCCCAGCACAGCCCUGCUGCUAAGGAUUGUAGAAUUAUAGAAGCACAGACUGGUUUGUGUUGAAAGGGACCUUGGAGGUCACCUUGUUCACAUCCAACCCCCCUGCAUGGACAGGGACCCUUUCCACUAGACCAGAUUGCUCAGAUCUCCAUCCACCCUGGCCUUAAACACUUACUGGGUUGUGUUACACCCACAGCUUCUCUGGGCAACCUGUUCCAGUGCCUCACCACCCUCACAGUAAAGAAUUUUUUCAUCAUAUCUAAUCCAAACCUACACUCUUUCAGUUUGAUGAUGGAAAGCAAUUGAGUGCUGGGAGUGGCAUGUACAUAUUUAUUCCAAAAUAAUCCACUACAUGGCAGUUGUGGUGUUUUGGGCCCUUGGAGCUGGAAUUUGUUCAGCCUCCUCUUCUCCUGACCUCCAGGCUGCCAGGAUAAUGGCUUCUAUCCUCUUAUCUCAGCUGAUGCUAUCACUGUUCCUCCCAUGCCCGCAGACACAUGUCAUGUGGUAAAAUCUCCCUCUGGGGGAAGCUGCUGUGCCAGCCUGGCUGCCAGUGAGCCUGGUGUGAUCCUUCAUUUCAAAUCAGGGUGGAAAGGGGUCAGGAAUAAAUGCUUCUCUACUUUUUAAAGUAUCUUUCAUCCAGAAAAGCCAGUACAGUAUCCUGCCCUAUGAACCGUAUAUGAGAGCUGGCAAAGGAAUAUUACAGCUGAAACCCCUCUUAGCACAAAGCACAAUGCUGGCCUUUGUGAAAACUGAAUUGUUCCUACUUCCAGUGUGAGUUUGGGCAAGCCCCUCUCUCUGGCACCACUCCGGGCUAAGGGCACAAGGGCAGGUGUGUCCUUGUCAUUAGGGGUUUUCCUCUUCCCAGCAUCUGUCUUUUGCUGAGUGGGGACAGACUGAUUCUGUGGAAACCACUUGGGAAGCUGGUCACUGGACUGCUGCCUGACACCCAAGUCACUGCCUGUUCUGCCACAGAAACAGUCCCUGAUCCUAAGCAGGUGUGUCUGUGUGCCCACAAACACACCCUCACAUGUGCACUCCUUCUCUGGUGGCACUGAGGUUGCUUUUUCCUCACACACUGGUAUUUUGCUGAGCUCAAAUGUCCCUGGCAGAGGGACCCUGAGCAGCAUCAUGUCUGAGGGACCCAGGGCUGCUUGUCAGAGCUGAAGUGGGAGGAGCAGUGGUUUGCCAUUCUGCUGGAUGAUGAGAUGAGUCAUUUGGGCCCUUCCACUCUCUUUACCAUCAAAAAUAAGGUGGAUCUGUGCUGCCAUGCCAUAUGAGUACAGCUUGCCACUGUGAUAGCUCUCUUCCUUCCUAAUCUCUCGUCACUGUUGUUGGUCAUGUGCAAGAGAGUGACUCCUUUCCUGUGACAGAAGAGUGUCAUGCCUAAAGGAUUACUUGCAGGCAACCCACAGGAGAUUCAUCUUGGCAGCCACAGGUUUGGUGCCUAAAAUCCUGUGGGAGUUUGCAGGAGCUGAGCACUGCUUUGGAGAAGCAGCAGAGACAAGCCAGUGGGAGCUGCCACAAGAGCAGUUUGAGCUUUCACAGAAGCUGUAGGCUCCAAGGGGAUAUGCCUAAGUGUCCGUGGCUCCAGUUGCUACCUCAGGCAAUGCUUUGGAUGGCAUAAAGAGGCACUGAGCCAGAACGAGCUGGAAUUGAAAGAGAUCUGGGGGAAAAGUGGAGCUUGCCUGGCUUGAGGAUAUUUCUUUUCAAUGUGGAAAGAGACCAACCAAAUAGGCAGAGUUCCCUACGAAGGAAAAGUCACCAAAACCUAAUUCAAGUCCUGGCUUCAAAGCCUGGUUCCUUAUCUAAAUGGCAGGACUUGUCAUCACAAGUACAGUCGCACAGAGAGAAAUAGAAUAAUAAGAGUGAAAAUGUAUUUAGUGCUUUUAAUACAAUGUUGUCAAUCUGAUUUAUUUCAUCUUGAAUUCCAGUAUCUGGAGCUUUUGUUAAGGACCAAGAGGCUGCAGUUGCACAGCUUUAGCAGCAUUGCAACUUUUUGUUACAUCAUCUUCUUUCUCUCUUCUGUGUGAAAGAAGAAAGCUUCAAACUCCAAGUCCUGAAGAUCAGGCUUCAAAGAGCUUAUGAAAGAUGUUUAGUUUCUGUUUAAAGCCUCAGUGUUUACAAGCAGGAUGAAGAUUUUAGAGGUAACCAGCAGGAUUUAAUGUCAACUUCAUCAUGGGAAGGAAAUGGACAGAUACUGACAGUUGGAUAUCCUACCUCUACUUAGAUUUGCCCCAAAAGCAAGGUGAUACUGAAUGUGUUGGGUGAGACUCUUAAACCUGAUAAUAAGGUUUGACCUCCAUGCAGGAAGAGAGGGAGUGUGGCAUCUGUCCAGCCUCAGGCAGAUCUUUGUGACUCCCCCGAUACCCAGAUAAUGUUUUGGAUGCUGCAUAUCACCCACAGAAUCUCUCUGGGUACUGAUGUCUCUCUGCAACCAGGCAGGGCUUGUGACCUGCCACACAAGGGCUUUGUUUUCCCCUGGAGUACUUUUGCCUGUGUUUGCCCUGUGAUUGGAUCUUUGAUUGGUGGCAGAACUUAAUUUCUUUCUAAAUUUGCCUGGGAACUAAUCCAGUUCUUCCAAGCGCCAGCUAUUUGCAAAGAAGUAACGACGUCCUGGGCUGGAGUAACUGUGGGGCCAGCGAUUAGCUGGGCAGCCCUCCCUGCUGCCUGGCAGGGCCCCCAGAGGGCACAGCUUUGUAAUGUCAACACACUCGGUACACUUCUCAGAGCCACCGAGCAAACAUGUGCCCAGAGCGUGCCGCAGGUAGGCUGGCUGGCCAAGGGC
Long non-coding RNA from Passer domesticus (house sparrow), 5707 nucleotides. RefSeq lists it as uncharacterized. NCBI's taxonomy places the organism in Eukaryota, Metazoa, Chordata, Aves, Passeriformes, Passeridae. The record is from RefSeq and is a predicted model, not a curated record. The transcript has 5 exons.